GGCCAGUCCGAGUGCAGCGGUGUUUACAACUAAUUGAUCACAACCAGUUAUAGAUUACUUUGUUCCUUCUCCACUCCCACUGUUUCACUGUGUUACAGUCUGAG
This 104-nucleotide non-coding RNA is filed under the name Prolemur simus (greater bamboo lemur). Lineage: Eukaryota; Metazoa; Chordata; Mammalia; Primates; Lemuridae. The record is from RNAcentral.